UGGGGAAUUUUGGACAAUGGGGGAAACCCUGAUCCAGCCAUCCCGCGUGUUCGAUGAAGGCCUUCGGGUUGUAAAGCACUUUUGGCAGGAAAGAAACGUCAUGGGUUAAUACCCCGUGAAACUGACGGUACCUGCAGAAUAAGCACCGGCUAACUACGUGCCAGCAGCCGCGGUAAUACGUAGGGUGCAAGCGUUAAUCGGAAUUACUGGGCGUAAAGCGUGCGCAGGCGGUUCGGAAAGAAAGAUGUGAAAUCCCAGAGCUCAACUUUGGAACUGCAUUUUUAACUACCGGGCUAGAGGGUGUCAGAGGGAGGUGGAAUUCCGCGUGUAGCAGUGAAAUGCGUAGAUAUGCGGAGGAACACCGAUGGCGAAGGCAGCCUCCUGGGAUAACACUGACGCUCAUGCACGAAAGCGUGGGGAGCAAACAGG
This 429-nucleotide ribosomal RNA is filed under the name Acidobacteriota bacterium. RNAcentral describes it as "Acidobacteria bacterium partial 16S ribosomal RNA". It matches the Rfam family "Bacterial small subunit ribosomal RNA", at positions 355 to 776 of the family's 1533-position model. The record is from RNAcentral. Lineage: Bacteria; Pseudomonadati; Acidobacteriota.